CUGCGCCUAUCUGCGCCUGUCAGACUUCCCUGCCCCUUUCCCGGUCCGUCCCUGGUUUAAGGUGCUAAACUCUGAAGUGUUGCCUGUGUUGUUUUUCUUUCUCCAGCGCAGCAGACAUCACUCCUGACCUGCGCGCACGCGGACCACGAACAUUACGCACAGCGAAGCGGCGCAUCCGCGGCGCCUGGGCAACAUCUGGAUUCAAACAGAUGUUCAGUCGGAAAGAAUCAGAAAUCCCAACAGGGCAGCGUGAUCCUGUCCGAACCGGACUAUGCUGAUAUCACGGCGGAUUCUUGGCCAGGUUUUGCUCGAGCUGAUGGAUUAAGGAACAGGAGCUGAGGAGAGUGUGAGAGAGAGAGAGAGAGAGAGAGGGAAAGAGAGAGGGAGAGCGCGCGCACACGGAGCGGUGCAGCAGGAUGAUUAAGAAACAAAAGCAGAAGACCUUCACACAAGUUCUGGUGCUCAUCUGCAUGCUCACACUCUUGCUAUCACCGAUCCACAUUGCAGGACAUAAAGUUCACCAUGUCAGGACAGGAACGUGUGAAGUUGUAGCAUUACAUCGAUGCUGCAAUAAGAACAAGAUAGAGGAACGUUCUCAGACUGUCAAAUGCUCCUGCUUUCCAGGACAAGUGGCUGGAACCACACGAGCAGCGCCUUCCUGUGUAGAUGCCUCCAUAGUGGAGCAGAAGUGGUGGUGUCAGAUGCACCCCUGCCUGGAUGGAGAGGAGUGUAAAGUUCUGCCUGACCUUAAAGGUUGGAGCUGCGCCACAGGGAACAAGAUCAAGACCACAAAGAUCUCUUCUGAUCGGGAUCAGCUUUGGUAGCAGAUGGAAACUAGAUACAGGAAUGACAAGAUGAGAACCUCAGCCAGAAGUAGGGCACCAGGAUGGAUCAGGCCGGUCCGAAGAGCAGGAGAGGCCAACAUCACUGGUGUCUCAGGAUCAACAUGUAAUUCAAUAGGGGGGGGCACAGGUUGGUUGAUUGAGUUGGAGACCUGUUUGAAGACUCCUCAUCUUUGCCUGUGGAUCUAAUUUGUGUAAAGACUGUUUUGUAACAGAUACACAACAAAAUCGUGAAGGUCUUCUAGGCACAUCAGUGUCGUGAGCACAUCUGGAUGUUGUUCUGUACUUCAGCUUCAUAAAGCUUGCUGUGGAUUUCUGUAGUUGCAUACUGCUUGCUGUUUUUGGACUUAUGGCUCAGUUACAGACUUUCCUUUACAUGGAUCCACAUGAAACCACAAGCAUUUUGCCUCAAGAUACAUUUAUUUAGUUUUGCUUAUAAAUGCAAAUAGACUUAAGGAUCUAAAAAUCAGCAUUAUAAAGGCGCAAAGCUGCAUACAGUACAGUUACAAUAUUUGUGAACUUUGUGUAGAUCAGAAAGUCUUCAAGUUCCAAUAUGAAUGUUUAUGUAAGCCUAUGUUAAUUUAUGCACCACUUAUUGCAUUAUUCCCUGAAGAAAGCUAUAGAAUUUAAAAAAAAAAAAAAUUUUUACACACUGUAUGUAUUGUUGCAAAUGAGUUCAGCGGCAAAAGCAGACAAUUUCAUUUUUCAUGUUGUUUUGUAAAUAAUUAUUCUUCUGAUUUCCUGGCCAUAUCAUAUUGGGGCAGUGUGAAUUGAUCUGCAAUAGGUAAUUUGUUUUUCUUGUUGUUGCAAAAGCAAACAAAUCCAAAUUUAGCAUAUAACUUCAAAAAUGCAUUGUGUCUGCAAGAAAUGUGGGGAAGUUUUCUUGCACCACUAGGAUCUAGUUAUAGGUUUCUUUUUACACCCAACCUGUGAUAUAGUCACCAGUUCAUCGAUAUUAUUGAUGUUUUCCAUGUUUUAAUGCAUUUUUAUUUAGCCAAUUUAGCAAGUGAAAAGAGAAAGGUCAGCAAAUCAUGGGUGCAGCCACGAUGGGUGACGUCAAUAGCUUUGGAGAGCUGAUUUGCUGACAUGGAGUUAUUGGUGAAAAAUGGGACAUGGCAAAUAACAGUUUAUGAAACAAAACCAUUAAUAUAGAGAGCUUUUGCAAAGGAGAUGUCUGAGUUUGUGAAAAAAACAAACCUGCUGAACAAGAAAGAUGGCACCACCAUCAAUCCACUGAUGGUAUUGGUUCAAUUUUUUUCUAGGUUGGAGCUUGUCUGCUUUUGCGUUUGAACUCUUCAAAUGCUUCCUCAUAUGUGCUGUAUGUCAGGAACAAAAUGACUCUAUAAGAAACCAUAUCGGUCUUUAAACCAUUUGUGUGUAUUAUAGCACAGAAGUAGUAAAAACCAAAACAUAAUCAAAGGCAUGGUUGUUCCUUUAAAAGCGCUUAAAGUUCUGAUUCUUUCUGUAAUAUAGUCUGCUUACAUGGCUAAUUGCAAAAAAUA
Neoarius graeffei (lesser salmon catfish) is the source of this 2344-nucleotide RNA transcript. It is a transcript of the gene named chemokine-like protein TAFA-2, with no coding region annotated. The record is from RefSeq and is a predicted model, not a curated record. NCBI's taxonomy places the organism in Eukaryota, Metazoa, Chordata, Actinopteri, Siluriformes, Ariidae. The transcript is spliced from 7 exons.